GGGGGGGGGGGGGGGGGGGGGGGGGGGGGGGGGGGCGGAGGGGGCCGGGGGGUGGGGGGGCGCAGGGGUGGGUGACGCGUGGGAAUCGGCCCUUGGGUUGGGAGUAGCGGGUAGAAGUGACUGCUCAUACCGGAUGAUGUCUUCGGACCAAAGAUUUAUCGCCCAGGGGUGAGCCCGCGUAGGAUUAGCUUGUUGGUGGGGUAAAGGCCUACCAAGGCGACGAUCCUUAGCUGGUCCGAGAGGAUGAUCAGCCACACUGGGACUGAGACACGGCCCAGACUCCUACGGGAGGCAGCAGUGGGGAAUAUUGGACAAUGGGCGAAAGCCUGAUCCAGCAAUGCCGCGUGAGUGAUGAAGGCCUUAGGGUUGUAAAGCUCUUUUACCCGGGAUGAUAAUGACAGUACCGGGAGAAUAAGCCCCGGCUAACCCCGUG
RNAcentral lists this ribosomal RNA (433 nucleotides) under uncultured bacterium. Its description in RNAcentral is "partial 16S ribosomal RNA". It matches the Rfam family "Bacterial small subunit ribosomal RNA", at positions 39 to 507 of the family's 1533-position model. The record is from RNAcentral.